Molecule: long non-coding RNA, 1090 nt
Organism: Gasterosteus aculeatus aculeatus (three-spined stickleback)
Lineage: Eukaryota; Metazoa; Chordata; Actinopteri; Perciformes; Gasterosteidae
Source: Ensembl
CGCGACUUUGACCUUUGACCACUAACUAGCUCAACGGCACGCGGUGCCUACGACGAGCUUCAACGCAAACAUCACAGAAACAGUAAAAACACUUUUUUAAAGGUUCACAGACGAAACCAUUAUUGAUUAAUAACUAAAUGGCGGAUUAAUGGACACAAAAGGCGCCGGAGGUCGACGGGGUCAAAGAGACAAAGAGACACCAGGAAGGAUGCAAUAAAGAAAAGAAUAAAAACCCGUCUCGUCCGCUGAGUCGUUCAGCACUUUGCCCCCCCCCCUGCCUGCCCCCCCCGGCCAUGAGGUAAUCGCUUCAGGGACUCAAAGCGGUGCUCCUACCUGUGACCUUUGACCUGUGACACAAAGCUGCUGACAGGGGACGACCGCCGGGGGACAUCCGAUGAAAGGUUAUUACCUUGAUGGGAGGCACUGGUCUGGACUGGAGGUGACCCAGUGCAGAUGGAUCGGAGCCCGCUGACCCCUCCUCUUCAUCCGGGGGGGUCAAAGGUCCUAACAAUCAGAACUCGGUACCAGGACAGAAGAAGAACGAUUGGUGCAUCAUCACUCUUUAGUCUUCUGACCUUCUAACCAACGCAUAUUUACGAAAUAUGAUAUUCUACCAUAAAUCAGUCGAUUCAUUAGUCAACAGGUUGAACCAGAGCUGCUCUGAGAUCAGCUUUGUGAUGCAUGAACGGGACGACAUUGAACAAGAAAAGGUAAGAGGAGCGAGAGGAGGACGGGGGAGGUGGCGUCCCAGAAGAUCAGAGCAGUGGCCUCCAGUGAGUAAAUGUGUCUUCCGCCAUGUUCAAAGACAUUCAAGCGGUUGGUUGCACACUGACCCUGCUGACCUCACAAGGUGUUCCACACACACACACACACACACAUAUGAACACACACAUGCACACACACACACAGUCACGGUGGCGUUACGUCACAUAUCAGGUGUCUCUUUUAAUAAUAAUAUUAUUAUUAAACUGUGCAUUUACAAAGGGUUGACUUUGAAGGCAGCGUCUUGUGCCUUUACUUGUUUCAGGUAUAGAACGUUGUAACUUAAUUAUUACCAUUAUGAUUAUUAUUACAUGACAUCACACGUCAU